This 869-nucleotide ribosomal RNA is filed under the name uncultured marine group I thaumarchaeote. Its description in RNAcentral is "SSU rRNA". It matches the Rfam family "Archaeal small subunit ribosomal RNA", at positions 27 to 904 of the family's 1478-position model. The record is from RNAcentral. Lineage: Archaea; Thermoproteati; Nitrososphaerota.
CUGCUAUCGGAUUGAUACUAAGCCAUGCGAGUCUUUGUAGUAAUACAAGGCAGACGGCUCAGUAACACGUAGUCAACCCACCCUAUGGACAAGAAUAAUCUCGGGAAACUGGGCAUAAUUCUUGAUAGAUCAUAAUGCCUGGAAUGGUUUAUGGUUAAAAUGAUUCGUCGCCAUAGGAUGGGACUGCGGCCUAUCAGCUUGUUGGUGAGGUAAUGGCCCACCAAGGCGAUUACAGGUACGGGCUCUGAGAGGAGAAGCCCGGAGAUGGGUACUGAGACACGGACCCAGGCCCUAUGGGGCGCAGCAGGCGAGAAAACUUUGCAAUGUGCGGAAGCACGACAAGGUUAAUCCGAGUGAUUUCUGCUAAAGAAAUCUUUUGCCAGUCAUAAAACCACUGGUGAAUAAGGGGUGGGCAAGUUCUGGUGUCAGCCGCCGCGGUAAAACCAGCACCUCAAGUGGUCAGGAUGAUUAUUGGGCCUAAAGCAUCCGUAGCCGGCUUUGUAAGUUUUCGGUUAAAUCCAUGUGCUCAACGCAUGGGCUGCCGAAAAUACUGCAUGGCUAGGGAGUGGGAGAGGUAGACGGUACUCAGUAGGAAGGGGUAAAAUCCUUUGAUCUAUUGAUGACCACCUGUGGCGAAGGCGGUCUACCAGAACACGUUCGACGGUGAGGGAUGAAAGCUGGGGGAGCAAACCGGAUUAGAUACCCGGGUAGUCCCAGCUGUAAACGAUGCAGACUCGAUGAUGCAUUGGCAUAAUAGCCAGUGCAGUGUCGCAGGGAAGCCGUUAAGUCUGCCGCCUGGGAAGUACGUACGCAAGUAUGAAACUUAAAGGAUUGGCGGGGAGCACCACAAGGGUGAAGCCUGCGGUUCA